RNAcentral lists this transfer RNA (91 nucleotides) under Bacillota bacterium. Its description in RNAcentral is "tRNA-Ser". It matches the Rfam family "tRNA". Rfam says of the family: Transfer RNA (tRNA) molecules are approximately 80 nucleotides in length. Their secondary structure includes four short double-helical elements and three loops (D, anti-codon, and T loops). The record is from RNAcentral. RNAcentral also lists the same sequence under 1 other name. Lineage: Bacteria; Bacillati; Bacillota.
GGAGAGAUGGCUGAGUGGUCGAAAGCGCCCGCCUCGAAAGCGGGUAGGGGUGUUGAGCCCCUCGCGAGUUCAAAUCUCGCUCUCUCCGCCA